This 2919-nucleotide ribosomal RNA is filed under the name marine sediment metagenome. RNAcentral's name for it is "bacterial LSU rRNA". It matches the Rfam family "Bacterial large subunit ribosomal RNA". The record is from RNAcentral.
UCAAGUAAUUAAGCGCAUACGGUGGAUGCCUUGGCAGCUAGAGGCGAUGAAGGACGUAGUAACUUGCGAUAAGCUUCGGGGAGCCGGUAAACAGGCUUUGAUCCGAAGAUUUCCGAAUGGGAAAACCCACCUAGGACAACCUAGGUAUCUUUAUCUGAAUUCAUAGGAUAUAGAGGCAAACGCGGAGAAUUGAAACAUCUUAGUAACCGCAGGAAAAGAAAUCAAUUGAGAUUCUGUGAGUAGCGGCGAGCGAAAGCGGAACAGCCCUUAAGCUUUUAUUUGGUUAGUGGAAUGGUCUGGAAAGGCCGGUCGUAGAAGGUGAUAACCCUGUACACGAAAACUAAAUAUAAGUGAAAUCGAGUAGGUCGGGACACGAGAAAUCUUGACUGAAUAUGGGGGGACCAUCCUCCAAGGCUAAAUACUCCUAGCUGACCGAUAGUGAACCAGUACCGUGAGGGAAAGGCGAAAAGUACCCCGGAGAGGGGAGUGAAAUAGAACCUGAAACCGUUUGCGUACAAGCUGUCGGAGCUUUUUAAGCCGUUCGCGGUUUAAAGAGUGACGGCGUACCUUUUGUAUAAUGGGUCAGCGAGUUAUUUUCUGUGGCAAGCUUAACUUUAUGAGGAAGGCGCAGGGAAACCGAGUCUUAAUAGGGCGACUUAGUCUCAGGUAAUAGACGCGAAACCGGACGAUCUAUCCAUGGCCAGGGUGAAGGUGAGGUAACACUUACUGGAGGCCCGAACCCACCUAUGUUGAAAAAUGGGGGGAUGAGCUGUGGAUCGGAGUGAAAGGCUAAUCAAGUUCGGAGAUAUCUCGUUCUCCCCGAAAUCUAUUUAGGUAGAGCCUCUUGUAUUACUGUUGGGGGUAGAGCACUGUUUCGGCUAGGGGGUCAUCCCGACUUACCAAACCGAUGCAAACUCCGAAUACCAACAAGUACAGCAAGGGAGACAGACUGCGGGUGCUAACGUCCGUAGUCGAGAGGGAAACAACCCAGACCGCCAGCUAAGGUCCCAAAUUGUGAUUAAGUGGGAAACGAUGUAGGAAGGCUUAAACAGCUAGGAGGUUGGCUUAGAAGCAGCCAUCCUUUAAAGAAAGCGUAACAGCUCACUAGUCGAGUCGGCCUGCGCGGAAGAUUUAACGGGGCUAAAUCACAAACCGAAGCUGCGGAUAAUUUACCGGUUACGGCCGGUUUAUUAUGGUAGGGGAGCGUUCUGUAAGCCGUUGAAGGCAAAUUGUAAGGUUUGCUGGAGGUAUCAGAAGUGAGAAUGCUGACAUGAGUAACGAUAAGAGAGGUGAAAAACCUCUCCGCCGAAAACCCAAGGUUUCCUGUCCAACGUUAAUCGGGACAGGGUGAGUCGACCCCUAAGGCGAGGGCGAAAGCCGUAGUCGAUGGGAAAUAGGUUAAUAUUCCUAUACUUCUUGUUACUGCGAUGGAGUGACGGAGAAGGCUAGGCCAGCAAGGUGAUGGAUAUCCUUGUUUAAGGUUGUAGGUUGGAAUUCUAGGUAAAUCCGGAAUUCUAAGACCGAGAACUGAUGACGAAUAUUUCUUUUAGAAAUACCAAGUGGUCGAUGCCAUGCUUCCAGGAAAAACUUCUAAGCUUCAGGUAGCAAGGAAUCGUACCGUAAACCGACACAGGUGGGUGGGUAGAGAAUACCAAGGCGCUUGAGAGAACUCUGGUGAAGGAACUAGGCAAAAUGGUACCGUAACUUCGGGAGAAGGUACGCCCUCAUUAGGUGAAGAGACUUGCUCUCAGAGCCGAAGAGGGUCGAAGAUACCAGGUGGCUGCGACUGUUUACUAAAAACACAGCACUCUGCUAACACGAAAGUGGACGUAUAGGGUGUGACGCCUGCCCGGUGCCGGAAGGUUAAUUGAUCGGGUUAGCCCUUGUGGCGAAGCUCGUGAUUGAAGCCCCGGUGAACGGCGGCCGUAACUAUAACGGUCCUAAGGUAGCGAAAUUCCUUGUCGGGUAAGUUCCGACCUGCACGAAUGGCGUAACGAUGGCCACGCUGUCUCCACCAGAGACUCAGUGAAAUUGAAUUUGCGGUGAAGAUGCCGUAUACGCGCGGCUAGACGGAAAGACCCCGUGCACCUUUACUAUAGCUUCACACUGGACUUUGAAUUUAUUUGUGUAGGAUAGGUGGGAGACUUUGAAGCGUAGGCGCCAGCUUACGUGGAGUCAUCCUUGAAAUACCACCCUUAUAACUUUGGAGUUCUAACUUUGAUCCGUUAUCCGGAUCGAGGACAGUGUGUGGUGGGUAGUUUGACUGGGGCGGUCUCCUCCCAAAGAGUAACGGAGGAGUGCGAAGGUAACCUCAGCACGGUCGGACAUCGUGCAAUGAGUGCAAUGGCAUAAGGUUGCUUAACUGCGAGACAGACAUGUCGAGCAGAUACGAAAGUAGGUCAUAGUGAUCUGGUGGUUCUGUAUGGAAGGGCCAUCACUCAACGGAUAAAAGGUACGCCGGGGAUAACAGGCUUAUACCCCCCAAGAGUUCACAUCGACGGGGGUGUUUGGCACCUCGAUGUCGGCUCAUCACAUCCUGGGGCUGGAGCAGGUCCCAAGGGUAUGGCUGUUCGCCAUUUAAAGUGGUACGCGAGCUGGGUUUAGAACGUCGUGAGACAGUUCGGUCCCUAUCUGCCGUGCGCGUUGGAAAUUUGAGAAGAGUCGCUCCUAGUACGAGAGGACCGGAGUGAACGAACCCCUGGUGUUCGGGUUGUCACGCCCGUGGCAUUGCCCGGUAGCUAUGUUCGGAAAGGAUAAUCGCUGAAAGCAUAUAAGCGAGAAGCCUCCUUCAAGACUAGAUUUCCCUGGACCUUCGGGUCCUUAAAGAGCCGUUCAAGACUAGGACGUUGAUAGGCGGGGUGUGUAAGCGCUGCGAGGCGUUGAGCUAACCCGUACUAAUUGCUCGAUAGGCUUGACCAU